CUUUGUGGAUGAUGAUAAAAGUUAUCCCUGUCUGAUAAAUUUGUGCUGUUCUCUUUUGUUCUGACACUUCA
This 71-nucleotide small nucleolar RNA is filed under the name Thalictrum thalictroides. RNAcentral's name for it is "Small nucleolar RNA R38". It matches the Rfam family "Small nucleolar RNA R38". Rfam says of the family: snoR38 is a C/D box small nucleolar RNA conserved across yeast, human, Arabidopsis and rice. It is encoded in the intron of elongation factor-1 gamma in both pombe and cerevisiae. snoR38 guides the methylation of 2'-O-ribose sites in 28S rRNA. The record is from Rfam by way of RNAcentral. Lineage: Eukaryota; Viridiplantae; Streptophyta; Magnoliopsida; Ranunculales; Ranunculaceae.